This 253-nucleotide ribosomal RNA is filed under the name uncultured bacterium. RNAcentral's name for it is "partial 16S ribosomal RNA". It matches the Rfam family "Bacterial small subunit ribosomal RNA", at positions 524 to 776 of the family's 1533-position model. The record is from RNAcentral.
UACGUAGGGCGCAAGCGUUAUCCGGAAUUAUUGGGCGUACAGAGCUCGUAGGCGGUUUGUCGCGUCUGCCGUGAAAGUCCGGGGCUCGACUCCGGAUCUGCGGUGGGUACGGGCAGACUAGAGUGAUGUAGGGGAGACUGGAAUUCCUGGUGUAGCGGUGAAAUGCGCAGAUAUCAGGAGGAACACCGAUGGCGAAGGCAGGUCUCUGGGCAUUAACUGACGCUGAGGAGCGAAAGCAUGGGGAGCGAACAGG